RNAcentral lists this unclassified non-coding RNA (330 nucleotides) under Marinobacterium stanieri. RNAcentral's name for it is "Long range pseudoknot". The record is from RNAcentral. Lineage: Bacteria; Pseudomonadati; Pseudomonadota; Gammaproteobacteria; Oceanospirillales; Oceanospirillaceae.
ACGGAAGAAGGGGAUUAUCAGGUAAAACUGCGCAACCUGAUACGUUUCCUUGAAGCCGGGGAUAAGGGCAAGGUUACCUUGCGCUUCCGUGGUCGUGAGAUGGCUCACCAGGAGCUGGGCAUGCAGCUGAUGCAGCGGAUCGAACAGGAUCUUGUUGAAAUCAGUACUGUAGAACAGCGUCCGAAAAUGGAAGGUCGUCAAAUGGUCAUGGUGUUGUCUCCCAAAAAGAAAUAGCCACCCGACGAUAGCCGCCCGACGCUUAUUCCUGCGGGAACAGGUGUCGGGUUUUAUUGUUUGUUGUAGUGGCAGACCUAUAAACGAAUGCGUGGA